RNAcentral lists this ribosomal RNA (437 nucleotides) under Acanthamoeba genotype T4. RNAcentral's name for it is "SSU rRNA". It matches the Rfam family "Eukaryotic small subunit ribosomal RNA", at positions 750 to 1085 of the family's 1831-position model. The record is from RNAcentral. Lineage: Eukaryota; Discosea; Longamoebia; Acanthamoebidae.
CUUUACCGUGAAAAAAUUAGAGUGUUCAAAGCAGGCAGAUCCAAUUUUCUGCCACCGAAUACAUUAGCAUGGGAUAAUGGAAUAGGACCCUGUCCUCCUAUUUUCAGUUGGUUUUGGCAGCGCGAGGACUAGGGUAAUGAUUAAUAGGGAUAGUUGGGGGCAUUAAUAUUUAAUUGUCAGAGGUGAAAUUCUUGGAUUUAUGAAAGAUUAACUUCUGCGAAAGCAUCUGCCAAGGAUGUUUUCAUUAAUCAAGAACGAAAGUUAGGGGAUCGAAGACGAUCAGAUACCGUCGUAGUCUUAACCAUAAACGAUGCCGACCAGCGAUUAGGAGACGUUGAAUACAAAACACCACCAUCGGUGCGGUCGUCCUUGGCGUCGGUUUCGGCCGGCGCGAGGGCGGCUUAGCCCGGUGGCACCGGUGAAUGACUCCCCUACAG